AGUGAACGCUGGCGGUAGGCCUAACACAUGCAAGUCGAACGGCAGCACAGUAAGAGCUUGCUCUUACGGGUGGCGAGUGGCGGACGGGUGAGGAAUACAUCAGAAUCUACUUUUUCGUGGGGGAUAACGUAGGGAAACUUACGCUAAUACCGCAUACGACCUACGGGUGAAAGCAGGGGAUCUUCGGACCUUGCGCGAUUGAAUUAGCCGAUGUCGGAUUAGCUAGUUGGCGGGGUAAAGGCCCACCAAGGCGACGAUCCGUAGCUGGUCUGAGAGGAUGAUCAGCCACACUGGAACUGAGACACGGUCCAGACUCCUACGGGAGGCAGCAGUGGGGAAUAUUGGACAAUGGGCGCAAGCCUGAUCCAGCCAUACCGCGUGGGUGAAGAAGGCCUUCGGGUUGUAAAGCCCUUUUGUUGGGAAAGAAAAGCAGCAGGUUAAUACCCCGCUGUUCUGACGGUACCCAAAGAAUAAGCACCGGCUAACUUCGUG
Molecule: ribosomal RNA, 492 nt
Filed under: uncultured bacterium
Lineage: Bacteria
Description: partial 16S ribosomal RNA
Rfam family: Bacterial small subunit ribosomal RNA
Source: RNAcentral